This 928-nucleotide small RNA is filed under the name Drosophila pseudoobscura pseudoobscura. RNAcentral describes it as "GA32969". The record is from RNAcentral. Lineage: Eukaryota; Metazoa; Arthropoda; Insecta; Diptera; Drosophilidae.
GGUACAGCCAGAACAGCCCAUAGUCUCCAAUGCGAUGGUUCUCAAAUAUAUCCUUGUGGCAACUCUGAUGCUGACUCUAGUAAAUUGUGGCUACAUUAAGUGGGAUACCCCCGUUACAAUUUGCCAUGUCAUUGGACGAUGCCAAGAACCAGAUGGAGAAUAUUGCCGUGGACGCCUACUCGAAGAUAGAAAAUGUGGUAUAAAUCGUUGCUGCCUACGUAAAUAUGAGGCAAAAAAAGAUCAGUUUCUCGUUCCUGAUGUAUAAGGUAUAUAAGAUUUUAAUCGUGAUCUUGAAAUAGGAACAAAACUGAAAUAAAUUUCUUAUUUAGUUGACCCUAUUUUCGAAAAUCAACCGAAGUGAAUUUCUUCUAUCCAAUUCAUCCGCAAUUGUUCACGGAUCGGUUCAGCGUUCAGUCACGCUUCAAUUAAUUAAUGUUUAGAUACGGCACCUGCAUAACUUAUUUGAUUGGAAACGCGAAGUAUUCUAAUAGUUUAAAGGUGAAUUUUAAUAUUGAAACGGGCGAUUAUUUCCGAAGAGUCAGAGCUGUGGAAAGCUAGAAAAUGUUGCUCAAAUAUUCUAUAUAUUUAGCCCUGACCUUUACAUUGGUGUUUUCUAAAGAAACAAAUUAUCAACGCAAUUAUCGUGCCAAAUUGGCCAGGGCAACGAUUUCUGGUCCUUGCCGUGUUGCAGACCCAGGAAAGUGUGUGAAUAUACACGGAAAAUGCGAUGGUAAUAAGUAUCAAGCUCCAGAAUGUCAAAUGCCAUCAGUCUGUUGUGUCAGGUCCAAAAGCGUGUAUAAGAAAAUUGAGGGCUUAGAUUCGAGCUAUUUUGAAUGAUUCUGAUGCUGAACCAAUACAGAUCCGCUAUUGGUUCUUUCGUCUAAAAUAAAAUGCAUAAAAUCCCCUACUAAGGCGUACAGAAAGAGCA